GAUGAACGCUGGCGGCGUGCCUAAUACAUGCAAGUAGAACGCUGAAGGAGGAGCUUUCUCUUCUGGAUGAGUUGCGAACGGGUGAGUAACGCGUAGGUAACCUGCCUGGUAGCGGGGGAUAACUAUUGGAAACGAUAGCUAAUACCGCAUGACAACAGUUAUUGCAUGAUAACUGUUUAAAAGGGGCAACUGCUCCACUACCAGAUGGACCUGCGUUGUAUUAGCUAGUUGGUGAGGUAACGGCUCACCAAGGCGACGAUACAUAGCCGACCUGAGAGGGUGAUCGGCCACACUGGGACUGAGACACGGCCCAGACUCCUACGGGAGGCAGCAGUAGGGAAUCUUCGGCAAUGGACGGAAGUCUGACCGAGCAACGCCGCGUGAGUGAAGAAGGUUUUCGGAUCGUAAAGCUCUGUUGUAAGAGAAGAACGAGUGUGAGAGUGGAAAGUUCACACUGUGACGGUAUCUUACCAGAAAGGGACGGCUAACUACGUG
Molecule: ribosomal RNA, 495 nt
Filed under: uncultured bacterium
Lineage: Bacteria
Description: partial 16S ribosomal RNA
Rfam family: Bacterial small subunit ribosomal RNA
Source: RNAcentral